RNAcentral lists this ribosomal RNA (278 nucleotides) under uncultured bacterium. RNAcentral's name for it is "partial 16S ribosomal RNA". It matches the Rfam family "Bacterial small subunit ribosomal RNA", at positions 29 to 334 of the family's 1533-position model. The record is from RNAcentral.
AACGGACGCUGGCGGCAUGCCUAACACAUGCAAGUCGAACGAGACCUUCGGGUCUAGUGGCGCACGGGUGCGUAACGCGUGGGAAUCUGCCCUUGGGUUCGGAAUAACUCGCCGAAAGGCGUGCUAAUACCGGAUGAUGUCGUAAGACCAAAGAUUUAUCGCCCAGGGAUGAGCCCGCGUAAGAUUAGGUAGUUGGUGGGGUAAAGGCUCACCAAGCCGACGAUCUUUAGCUGGCCUGAGAGGAUGAUCAGCCACACUGGAACUGAGACACGGUCCAA